CCUACGGGUGGCAGCAGUGGGGAAUAUUGGACAAUGGGGGGAACCCUGAUCCAGCCAUGCCGCGUGUGUGAAGAAGGCCCUCGGGUUGUAAAGCACUUUCAGUGAGGAAGAACGCCUGGUGGUUAAUACCCAUCAGGAAAGACAUCACUCACAGAAGAAGCACCGGCUAACUCCGUGCCAGCAGCCGCGGUAAUACGGAGGGUGCGAGCGUUAAUCGGAAUUACUGGGCGUAAAGCGCGCGUAGGUGGCUUGAUAAGCCGGUUGUGAAAGCCCCGGGCUCAACCUGGGAACGGCAUCCGGAACUGUCAAGCUAGAGUGCAGGAGAGGAAAGUAGAAUUCCCGGUGUAGCGGUGAAAUGCGUAGAGAUCGGGAGGAAUACCAGUGGCGAAGGCGGCCUUCUGGACUGACACUGACACUGAGGUGCGAAAGCGUGGGUAGCAAACAGGAUUAGAUACCCGGGUAGUC
Molecule: ribosomal RNA, 465 nt
Filed under: Vreelandella stevensii
Lineage: Bacteria; Pseudomonadati; Pseudomonadota; Gammaproteobacteria; Oceanospirillales; Halomonadaceae
Description: partial 16S ribosomal RNA
Rfam family: Bacterial small subunit ribosomal RNA
Source: RNAcentral